This is a long non-coding RNA of Callorhinchus milii (elephant shark), 485 nucleotides long. RefSeq lists it as uncharacterized. Lineage: Eukaryota; Metazoa; Chordata; Chondrichthyes; Chimaeriformes; Callorhinchidae. The record is from RefSeq and is a predicted model, not a curated record. The transcript has 4 exons.
UGUGCUGGAAAGCGUUUUCAGUUGGAUCCAAGCAGCUUCAUUGCCAGGCUGCAGUGCUGUACCAAAUGAGAAUAAUUUCAAAUGAACUGACUCCCGCAGGCAAAUGUGACAGCCAAAUUGCACCAGAAAUAUCCCACUAGCAACAGAGAGAACACCGUAGAUGCACACUUCUUCACUCUCUGCCCUUCGCUCUCACUCCUGGAGGCGUAACAUCAGCGUCAUCAUGCACGGCAGCGAGGCAGGUGUGUGUGGGUUGGGGGUUGACAGAGGAAAGAACAUUGCCUGACCACAUGGGGGUAAUCAACAACUGGAACAGUUUGCAGAUGGUAGGCCAGGACGCCGGACUCAUUUAAAAAGAAGCUUGAAGCAGUGAUGAGGUCGGUAGGGUGGGUGUUCUGGAGGGAUGGAAUCGGAUGGGCCAAAGAAGUUACUUCUUCCAAACUAAUCUUGUGAUUCUGUGAUCUAAAAAAUAAUGAAGUGCUUUG